UUUGUUUUUUUUUAACACUGGGCCCCAGAUAUUUCCCUUAGUGAUGUCACAAAAACGGAUUGAGAAAGACAAUUGUUAUUGUUUUAAAUUUAAUUCAAACAUCACAUGGUAAAGUCCGUCAUGGUCAUUUUGAGCACCCCCCCUUUGGACUAUUCCAUCUCAUUGCACAUGUGCAGAUUUAGUUCAGGAAGAAGGUUGCAGAUGUUCCCCCAAAAUUGCUGGUGGCCUGCUGUGAGAAAAAUUAAAUAGGGGAAGAAGAAGGCGAGAGAAAACCAAACCGCUGCAGCCAUUUCCAAGGUGACACGGAAAGUGCAUAAAUAUCAACAAUGGGAGCCAAACAAACAUUCGGGCCAAUUGCAGUAGUACUGCUGUCUGUGUCUGCAAGUCUUGCUCCUACUUGUCAGACUCCAUGUAGAAGUGGGCGAAGCUUUUGACCACCAAGAUCAGGGAUAGACUCCAGCUUGAGGAUCAUCAGCAAACCAAAGGAUGGAUGUUACCAAAUGAUUGAAUUCAAGCACUUCCAGUGCAGGAAAUCCCAUAACGCACUCGAAGCCCACGACACAUUCCAGCGUGAAAAGGACCUUUGUUGCCAGACACUCCCCACACAUUGUACAAUGUGAGGAAGAAUGUCAUGAGGAAUUCCCCCCCACACCCUCCCCCCAAAAAAGAAUCGGCUUGAUUUUUUUAAUGCAUAAGACCUAACGCCCAAAGACUCAUAAAGGCCCUUUUAGUCUGGAUUUUUUCUUUUUUUAUUAUACGCAGGCGUCUCGUUGUGUGGGAGCAUAUGUGCGAUGCAGGUAAAAUGUCAGGACACCUUACCGAAUGGCGCUUCGUUCCACCUGCAGCAGUUAUCUGGAAAGGUUCAAACCAUAAAUCUCAGUCUGGCUGCUGCUUUUUUUUUUUUAACCCUUCUUUGUCCUGUUGGGGGCACUAGUCUUUAAUCGUUAUUUGCAUCAUUAAGUGGCUUACAAGGAAGAUUAACACGCAAACCACAAAAUGUGAUUUAGGUGGUCAUAUUGUGGCACAAUCUUUUUAUGUGUCUUGCCUGGACAUUCUCAAGUGUGAAAAGAAGCUGCAUUAUAUAGCGACCACAUGACAACAUUUGUCUUGUGAUUAAUUUCCACGCGCUUGCGGCCGUUCCCAGGGAAAGCGCACUAACCACGGCCGUCACCGCCGGCGCUGCUGCAAAUUGUAAUCGGAGGAUUUAAAGCUGUCACUCAAAUCUCGACGUGACCUUUCA
Syngnathus acus (greater pipefish) is the source of this 1240-nucleotide long non-coding RNA. RefSeq lists it as uncharacterized. The record is from RefSeq and is a predicted model, not a curated record. Lineage: Eukaryota; Metazoa; Chordata; Actinopteri; Syngnathiformes; Syngnathidae. The transcript has 2 exons.